AAUUAAAUAAAUUGAACUAAUGUGUUCUUCGGAUUAAAUUUACUGUAAAUAUUAUAAACAACUUUAUAAUGUUUUUUUUUUUAAAUUUAUGUCAAAAUAAAUAUCGUAAUUUAUUAUAAAAUUAUUUUUUGGGAUAUGAUUAUGCGGCGAAACUAUUUUUGGAAUAGAGAAUGUUUUAAGUUUCAAUAAACUCACGGAAUUCGUCCAUUCUCAGCUUACUAGCUUUGGAUUUUAGUGUGUUUCGGGAAGCAGGAGCUGAAGGACCUACAUUACUGUCCAAGGAUAAGUCGCCAACCACUCAUUACAAUAGAUAAUGGAACAUCUCUAAUCUCCAUUGGACCAGUCUAAAAUGCAGUUAAAGUUCUUUGUACAAUUUUUUACGGUUCUGGAAUAAAGUGUUUCUGUGUACAUGUCGUGGUGUCGGCCGGCGAUAAUAGGUGAUGCAUUGGACACGGUGAUUGAAUG
This is a long non-coding RNA of Myzus persicae (green peach aphid), 465 nucleotides long. RefSeq lists it as uncharacterized. The record is from RefSeq and is a predicted model, not a curated record. The transcript has 3 exons. NCBI's taxonomy places the organism in Eukaryota, Metazoa, Arthropoda, Insecta, Hemiptera, Aphididae.